UGUCUAGAGUCAAUUCGAAUGUGAAGUUAUUAGAGCCGGUAUUCUUUUCUGAUGCAACAGAGAUGGUGGCAAUGCCGACCAUAUUCAAUAACAAUCUAUAAAGUUUCUGUCGCAGCGCCAUAGAGGACGAGAGGCGAGAGAUGGUUUCACAUUUACAAUUGAUUGCUUCAUUGUUCUAGACUGCUUUGGACGCUAUGCAUUUGGCUGACGGCUGCGAGUAGUUUUCUCGGUUCGGGUUUCUCUGGUGGAGAAGCUUUCUGAACGCACCCCUAACUACGAGAACCAGUCGCGAACACGCAACUAUCAAAUACCAUUAACUAAUUAACACAUCUUUUGUCCGUCUACACUGGCGUUUUUUGGAAAGGACUGCCACGGUCGUGAUGCACGCGGAAAGGUCAGGGACCGAGUUAUUGAAUUGUUUUCUAUUACGCUUCGAGUGAACUCCGACCGAACCCGUGUUGACCGAUUGAACUGUUCACUGUUGACUGAGCAGGUUGUGCUUCAAGGGAUAAAUUCUACGUAAACCCCUUUUCGAAGCCGGCCCCGGUGGAACAAUCAUAAAUAGCGUGGGAGAAUUUCUGCCAGCUGCACUACGAAUCAUUAAAGUACGCGUAUACGUAUUUCGGGCUACGCUGAAUCGAUGCAGUCGCCACUGGCACGCACGAGAAGGGGUAGUUUAAUUAGGCUCACUGUUUACAGUUCGUGUGUGUGUGGUUUACUUUGAUUGAUAAGUCUGCCUUGGAUAGAGGACGGGCGCGUGACUUGUAAUAGAAUAAAUCGUGCAAUUCAAUGGAAGGUUCGAGUCAGCAACUUGGAUAGAAAAAGUGGAUUUUUCGGUGCUCGUCUUUUAUCAGUAAUGUUGUUCAUCGAACUGGAGAUAUACUGCAUGAACUUGGUUGGCAUGCAUGGUUGGCUGUGGAGUUUGUCAAUAAAGAAGGGUCAAGUUCCAUAGAAACAACAAAACUCAAUGUUUUGCCUUCAUAUGAGUGAAAAUCAAAAAGUUCCCUUGAGUGUAAAAACUUGCUCAAUUUUGAAUCCCGAAGUAUUGUAAGUAGUCGAGCAGCGCCCCUUGUGGUCGGGUUUGAAAUGCUUCGAAGACUAUUUAUUUGGAAACUAUUCACCAAUGUUUCAUAUCGAUACAUGAAGCUUAAAAAAGUUGUGCUAAAUGGAAGACGAAGGAAAAAUAAUUCUGAUGACGGAGGUUGUACGAGAAGGUUCUGGCAAAAUAUAAAGAAUGCUUGUUUAUGGACGAUGAAACAUACGUGAAGAUGGAUUUAGAACAACUUUUCGGACGCCACCGUACGGGAUGAUGUCCCUGCCAAGCUAUAAAUAUGAAUGGAAGCUUUUGUCAUAAACAAGACGAUGAAUUCAACGGUUUGCAAUCAAGAGUGCAUUGAAAGGAAGUUCUAGCGUUUGUUCAGGCAAACAGAGGUCCUGUUACGUUUUGGCCGGAUUUGGCAUGCUACCACUACAGCCGGUAGGUAGUUCAGUGGUACCGUGAUAACAAAGUCACGGUGCUCCCACAGACCGUUAUUAUAAAAAAAAACA
Molecule: long non-coding RNA, 1548 nt
Organism: Wyeomyia smithii (pitcher-plant mosquito)
Lineage: Eukaryota; Metazoa; Arthropoda; Insecta; Diptera; Culicidae
Exons: 4
Source: RefSeq, a predicted model, not a curated record